RNAcentral lists this ribosomal RNA (253 nucleotides) under uncultured bacterium. RNAcentral's name for it is "partial 16S ribosomal RNA". It matches the Rfam family "Bacterial small subunit ribosomal RNA", at positions 524 to 776 of the family's 1533-position model. The record is from RNAcentral.
UACGUAGGGUGCAAGCGGUAAUCGGAAUUACUGGGCGUAAAGCGUGCGCAGGCGGUUUUGUAAGUCUGACGUGAAAUCCCCGUGCUCAACCUGGGAAUUGCGUUGGAGACUGCAAGGCUAGAAUCUGGCAGAGGGGGGUAGAAUUCCACGUGUAGCAGUGAAAUGCGUAGAGAUGUGGAGGAACACCGAUGGCGAAGGCCGCCCCCUGGGUCAAGAUUGACGCUCAUGCACGAAAGCGUGGGGAGCAAACAGG